AUUCGAUUAGAGUUUGAUCAUGGCUCAGAACGUACGCUGGCGGCACGCCUAACACAUGCAAGUCGAACGAAGUAGCAAUACUUAGUGGCAGACGGGUGAGUAACAUGUAGGUAUCUGCCCUUUGGCCUGGAAUAACACGAGGAAACUUGUGCUAAUACCGGAUAAGUCUUUACAGAGAAAGCUUUAUGCACCAUUGGAUGAGCCUGCACUUGAUUAGUUUGUUGGUGGGGUAAUGGCCUACCAAGACUGUGAUCAAUAGCUGAUUUGAGAGGAUGAUCAGCCACAUUGGGACUGAGACACGGCCCAAACUCCUACGGGAGGCAGCAGUGGGGAAUCUUGCACAAUGGAGGAAACUCUGAUGCAGCGAUGCCGCGUGAGUGAAGAAGGCCCUUGGGUUGUAAAGCUCUUUCGUCGGGGAAGAAAAUGACUGUACCCGAAUAAGAAGGUCCGGCUAACUUCGUGCCAGCAGCCGCGGUAAUACGAAGGGACCUAGCGUAGUUCGGAAUUACUGGGCUUAAAGAGUUCGUAGGUGGUUGAAAAAGUUGGUGGUGAAAUCCCAGAGCUUAACUCUGGAACUGCCAUCAAAACUUUUCAGCUAGAGUAUGAUAGAGGAAAGCAGAAUUUCUAGUGUAGAGGUGAAAUUCGUAGAUAUUAGAAAGAAUACCAAUUGCGAAGGCAGCUUUCUGGAUCAUUACUGACACUGAGGAACGAAAGCAUGGGUAGCGAAGAGGAUUAGAUACCCUCGUAGUCCAUGCCGUAAACGAUGUGUGUUAGACGUUGGAAAUUUAUUUUCAGUGUCGCAGCGAAAGCGAUAAACACACCGCCUGGGGAGUACGACCGCAAGGUUAAAACUCAAAUGAAUUGACGGGGACCCGCACAAGUAGUGGAGCAUGUGGCUUAAUUCGAAGAUACGCGCAGAACCUUACCAACACUUGACAUGUUCGUCGCGACUCUAAGAGAUUAGAGUUUUCGGUUCGGCCGGACGAAACACAGGUGCUGCAUGGCUGUCGUCAGCUCGUGUCGUGAGAUGUUGGGUUAAGUCCCGCAACGAGCGCAACCCUCACUUUUAGUUGCCAUCAUUUAGUUGGGCACUCUGAAAGAACUGCCAGUGAUAAGCUGGAGGAAGGUGGGGAUGACGUCAAGUCCUCAUGGCCCUUACGUGUUGGGCUACACACGUGCUACAAUGGUAUCUACAACAGGAAGCAAAACUGCGAAGUUAAGCAAAUCCUUAAAAGAUACCUCAGUUCGGAUUGCACUCUGCAACUCGAGUGCAUGAAGCUGGAAUUACUAGUAAUCGUGGAUCAGCGUGCCACGGUGAAUGCGUUCCCGG
Molecule: ribosomal RNA, 1330 nt
Filed under: uncultured bacterium
Lineage: Bacteria
Description: bacterial SSU rRNA
Rfam family: Bacterial small subunit ribosomal RNA
Source: RNAcentral